CCUACGGGUGGCAGCAGUGAGGAAUAUUGGUCAAUGGGCGGAAGCCUGAACCAGCCAAGUAGCGUGCAGGAUGACGGCCCUACGGGUUGUAAACUGCUUUUAUACGGGAAUAACGCGCCUUACGUGUAGGGCUUUGCAUGUACCGUAUGAAUAAGGACCGGCUAAUUCCGUGCCAGCAGCCGCGGUAAUACGGAAGGUCCGGGCGUUAUCUGGAUUUAUUGGGUUGAAGGGGAGCGUAGGCGGCAUGUCAAGCGUGCUGUGAAAUGUCCGGGCUCAACCCGGGCCUUGCAGCGCGAACUGGCGUGCUUGAGUGCGCGGAAAGCAGGCGGAAUUCGUCGUGUAGCGGUGAAAUGCUUAGAUAUGACGAAGAACCCCGAUUGCGAAGGCAGCUUGCUGCAGCGGAACUGACGCUGAUGCUCGAAAGCGCGGGUAGCGAACAGGAUUAGAUACCCUUGUAGUC
This 460-nucleotide ribosomal RNA is filed under the name uncultured bacterium. Its description in RNAcentral is "partial 16S ribosomal RNA". It matches the Rfam family "Bacterial small subunit ribosomal RNA", at positions 338 to 795 of the family's 1533-position model. The record is from RNAcentral.